This 520-nucleotide unclassified non-coding RNA is filed under the name uncultured Diversispora. RNAcentral's name for it is "SSU rRNA". It matches the Rfam family "Eukaryotic small subunit ribosomal RNA", at positions 569 to 1088 of the family's 1831-position model. The record is from RNAcentral. Lineage: Eukaryota; Fungi; Glomeromycota; Glomeromycetes; Diversisporales; Diversisporaceae.
AGCAGCCGCGGUAAUUCCAGCUCCAAUAGCGUAUAUUAAAGUUGUUGCAGUUAAAAAGCUCGUAGUUGAACUUCGGGAUUUGCCCAUUGGUCAGGCUUAACUGUCUGCACUGGUGUGACGAGUUCCUACCUUCUGAGGAAUCUCCAUGUCAUUCAGUUGGUGUGGGGGAAAUCAGGACUGUUACUUUGAAAAAUUAGAGUGUUUAAAGCAGGCAUCCGUCUGAAUACAUUAGCAUGGAAUAAUAAAAUAGGACGGUUUGGUUCUAUUUUGUUGGUUUCUAGGAUCACCGUAAUGAUUAAUAGGGAUAGUUGGGGGCAUUAGUAUUCAAUUGUCAGAGGUGAAAUUCUUGGAUUUAUUGAAGACUAACUACUGCGAAAGCAUUUGCCAAGGAUGUUUCCAUUAAUCAAGAACGAAAGUUAGGGGGUCGAAGACGAUCAGAUACCGUCGUAGUCUUAACCAUAAACUAUGCCGACUAGGGAUCGGACGAUGUUAAUUUUUUAAUGUAACUCGUUCGGCGCCU